ACGCAACUCACUCAAACUAUGUAGCUUAUUAAGAAUCAAGGUAUUUCAGAAACAUUGAAAAUCUUAGUGUAUAUUCUUCUCAAAAUAUAUACUCUCUUUUAAGUGUAUAUUUAAAUCUAGCUUUCAUUUGAGCCUUGGUUAUUCAAUUUUUUUUUAGUUUCUUUUAUUGAUCUUUAUUUAUAGUGAUAAUGAAAUUUUGAUUGUCA
This 206-nucleotide unclassified non-coding RNA is filed under the name Hevea brasiliensis (rubber tree). The record is from RNAcentral. Lineage: Eukaryota; Viridiplantae; Streptophyta; Magnoliopsida; Malpighiales; Euphorbiaceae.